GAUGAACGCUAGCGGCAGGCUUAAUACAUGCAAGUCGAGGGGCAGCAUGAAUGUAGCAAUACAUUUGAUGGCGACCGGCAAACGGGUGCGGAACACGUACACAACCUUCCUAUAAGUGGGGAAUAGCCCAGAGAAAUUUGGAUUAAUACCCCGUAACAUAAUGAUGUGGCAUCACAUUAUUAUUAUAGCUUCGGCGCUUAUUGAUGGGUGUGCGGCUGAUUAGAUAGUUGGCGGGGUAACGGCCCACCAAGUCUACGAUCAGUAGCUGAUGUGAGAGCAUGAUCAGCCACACGGGAACUGAGACACGGGCCCGACUCCUACGGGAGGCAGCAGUAAGGGAUAUUGGUCAAUGGACGCAAGUCUGAACCAGCCAUGCCGCGUGAAGGAUUAAGGUCCUCUGGAUUGUAAACUUCUUUUAUCUGGGACGAAGAAAGGCUAUUCUUAGUCACUUGACGGUACCAGAUGAAUAAGCACCGGCUAACUCCGUGCCAGCCGCCGCCGUAA
RNAcentral lists this ribosomal RNA (504 nucleotides) under uncultured bacterium. RNAcentral's name for it is "partial 16S ribosomal RNA". It matches the Rfam family "Bacterial small subunit ribosomal RNA", at positions 28 to 523 of the family's 1533-position model. The record is from RNAcentral.